CUACAGGCGCCCACCACCGCACCCAGCUAAUUUUUUGUAUUUUUAGUAGAGACGGGGUUUCACCGUGUUAGCCAGGAUGGUCUCAAUCUCCUGACCUCGUGAUCCGCCUGCCUUGGCCUCCCAAAGUGCUGGGAUUACAGGCAUAAGCCACCGCACCCAGCCUUUUUCUUUCUUUUUUUUUUUGAGGCAGAGUCUCACUUUGUCACCCAGGCUGGAGUGCAGUGGUGCCAUUUUGGCUCACUGCAACCUCUGCCUCCCGGAUUCAAGCAAUUUUCCUGCCUCAGCCUCCUGAGUAGCUGGGAUUACAGGCGCCCACCACCAUGCAUAGCUAAUUUUUGUAUUAUAUGUUGGCCAUUAUAUAUGUUGUAACAUAUAUGUUGUCUAUAUGUUGGCCAGGCUGGGCAAUGGCAUGAGACUGUCUCAAAAAAAAAAAAAAAAAAAGAGAUCUGUAGAGACAGACAAAGAUACAGAGUCAGAGAAGAGACAGACAUGGAAAACUAGAGAGACAGGGACACAGAGAUACAAAGACAGACGGAGAGAGAGAGAGAGAGAGAUGUAUAGAGUCAGAGAGAGUGUGUAACACAUUUAUUUUAAGAAAUUAGCUCACACAAUCAUGGGAGUUGGCAAGUCUGAAGUCCACAGGACAAGCCAGUUAGGCUGGAGGCUCAGGUAAGAGGUGACACUACCGUCUUAAAGCCUAAAGCCUGGAAACUCAGGCAGAAUUACUAAGUUGCAACCUUGAGGCAGAAUUCCUUCUUCAGGAAACUUCGGUGUUUACUCCUCAGACCUUCAACUGAUCAGGUGCGGCCCAUCUAGAAACGGGGUCUGGGAGAGUGAGGUGAGGCUGCAGGAGGGCAGAAGGGAUGCAAAUGAGGACAGGUAAGGAUGCAGGUGAGAGGGCAGAGCAGGUCUGCAGGUUGAUGGUGAUGGCGAAUCUACAAGGACAGAUGCCGGGGGAGGUGCAGGUAAUGAAACCGCUUUUGCAAAAUCAUAACUGAGGAAAUUAUGACGCUGAAAGAAAUCAGACCUAAGCGUCUCCGUCUUGCUUCUAAGCUUCAAGCUGUCCUUGUUCUUUCCUGGGCAUAGGCCGAACUAACUUUGGGAAGGAAUUCAGUUCAUGGUUUGGCUCUGAAACAAAAUUGGUAACAGCCCUUUCCCGAAAAGACCCCCUUUUUGCCUGGGGACCAGUCUGCCUUUGCAGGACUGACAAAUUAGCUACAAGAUUAGAAAUUACAGUUUAGGGGCCAUACAGCCUCUGGCUCCAAGAGUCUGAACCUCCCCAAAUUGCUCCUGGGGACAACAUCACUAUUGUAAAACCUAAGAUCAGUGCUCCAGAUAUGUUGCAGACCCUGAACUCAAUGGAUCAGCUGACACCAUCGAGACCAGUAAUCUGACCCCUCCAGUUCUGUGAUCCCACCCAGGAACGGAAGACAGAAAACCUCACCUGGACCCCCUAUGAUUCCAACUUCAACCUCACCAAUCAACACUCCUCACUUCCCAAACCUCUACCUGCCAAACUAUUAUUAUUAUUAUUAUUUUGAGAUGAAGU
This 1549-nucleotide long non-coding RNA is filed under the name Homo sapiens (human). RNAcentral describes it as "HSALNT0255113". The record is from RNAcentral. Lineage: Eukaryota; Metazoa; Chordata; Mammalia; Primates; Hominidae.